This 348-nucleotide unclassified non-coding RNA is filed under the name soil metagenome. Its description in RNAcentral is "partial contains 5.8S ribosomal RNA, internal transcribed spacer 2, and large subunit ribosomal RNA". The stretch from base 1 to 120 matches the Rfam family "5.8S ribosomal RNA", at positions 35 to 154 of the family's 154-position model. The record is from RNAcentral.
GAUGAAGAACGCAGCGAAAUGCGAUAAGUAAUGUGAAUUGCAGAAUUCAGUGAAUCAUCGAAUCUUUGAACGCACAUUGCGCCCAUCAGUAUCCUGUUGGGCAUGCCUGUCCGAGCGUCAUUUCAACCCUCAGGGCCCGUUCGCGGGAACUGGUGUUGGGGAUCGGCCUCCCCCCGGAGGCCGGCCCCGAAAUGCAGUGGCGGCUCUACCGCGAUCUCCUCUGUGUAGUAGCGAUACCUCGCAGCUGGAUAGUGGUGGUGCCACGCCGUAAAAUCCCAACUUUACCAAGGUUGACCUCGGAUCAGGUAGGAAUACCCGCUGAACUUAAGCAUAUCAAUAAGCGGAGGA